CUAUAUCAUAAGAUUAUAUACACAAAAGGAUUAUAAUGUUAUACAUGCCAUAUUCCCAAAAUAUGCAAGCCACCAUACCGAGAUGGUCCGUUGAUAGUGUGAGCUUGCCUCCGACCGUCCUGAUCUCCAAACCGGCUUGUCAGAACUAAAAGGAAUGGAAGGGAGGGAGUAAGCAUAAAUGCUUAGUAAGUUCAUAUGCAAAUAACAAAUAACUUAAAAAAGCAAUUAUACCAACCAACAUUAGCAUAAUAUCACCAAAACAUAUAUCACACUUCUAUUCAUCAUUCAUCGUCUUACUACAUUAUUGUUGUCGUAUCAAGUCUCAACCCGAGGGUUAAGUACAUACCUGUCCAAAGUGCCCAUUCUACAACACUUACCAAUACGUCACUUGCAUCUUGAGUAUUCUUCCAUUUCACUAGAAUUUUACCCAUUGAACACAUCGGAAUAUAACUCAGAUACAUGGAAAAUUUGCACAUAAGUGCCACAUACGUAGCCAAGCUACCAUGUAACCCGCCCAUAAGUGAACUCGGACUCAACUCAAUGAGCUCGGAUUCCUAGUUACAUCUCACGAACUCGGACUCAACUCAACGAGCUCGGAUGCCCAAAUAUCCUAAUCUAUUCCUAAGGUUCAACGGGACUUUCCUCGCCUUUACAAUUCUCCUUGGAAUACCAAUGACGAAACUUCGGUAGUCUUUCAUAUUUUUCACAUAAUUCACAAAAUUUUUGCAUGUUGUCCAACAAUGACCACAAAGCAUAGAAUUGCAUGAUAACAAUCAUAAUAUCGUAUAAUAGAAUUAAAUGAUUUAAAAUAAUGGUUAUAUUACAAUAUUUACAUAUAAACUUACCUCGAUACAAAAUGAGAAUAGUCGAGCCUAUUCCUCGUAAACUUUAUUUUUCCCCGAUCUAGAAUCGAAUCUCUUUUCUCUUGAUCUAUAAUACCAAAUUAAUUUAUUUAAUACACAGAUUCAUCAAAACAAUCCUUAAUACAAACUUUGGUAAAAUUACCAUUUUGCCCCUAUAUUUUCACAUAUUUACACUUUUGCCCUAGGCUCGUAAAUUAAACCUCAUCCUAUUUUCUUAUGUUUUAUGACAUGCUGGUCAUUUUUCCCUUCUAUAGCAACAUCAAAUUCACACUCUAACAUGUACUUAUGAAUAUUAGGUAUUUUUACCGAUUAUGUCAUUUUACUCGUUUUUACGAAAAAUCACUUAGCAAAAGUUGUUUAACAAAAUCUCAAACUUCAUAUUCUACCAUAAAACAUCAAAAUUCAUACAUAUCAUCCUUGGGUAAAAUUUUAAAUAUAAACACUAGCUCAAAAUAUUGGUAGAAAUAAUUAAACAGAGCUACAAGGAUUUCAAAAAUGUAAAGAACAUUAAAAACGGGCAUAGAAAUCACUUACAAUCAAGAAUUAAAAGUGUUGAAACCCUAGAUAUUAUGGAGAGCAAAAUUUGACAGCAUCUUAUGGAGAAGAUGAUCAUUUUUGUGUUAUUUUUCCCAUUUUAUUUCAUUUAAUAUUCAAAUGACCAAAAUGCCCUUCCUUACUAAACUUUCAAAAAUUCCAUCCAUGUCUAAUUUUUGUCCAUAAACUUAGAAAUUGGUAAAAUUGCUAUUUAAGACCUCCUAAUUAAUAUUUCAAAGCAAUUUCAUACUAGAAACUUCUAGAAUGCAAGUUUUGUAACUUAUUCAAUUUAGUCCCUAACUUCAAAUUAAGCACUUUAUGCAUAGAAUUUCUUCACGAAAUUUUCACACAAUCAUGCAAUCAUAUCAUAGACCUCAAAAUAAUCAUAAAAUAAUUAUUUCUAUCUAAUAUUUGUGUUCCCGAAACCACUAUUCUGAUUAGGCCCUAAUUCAGGAUAUCACAAAUUAAGUUUUUUACAGACGAGCUUACUAAGCUAUGAAGCUUACUUCGUGUUAUUUUUCUAUGUUUUAUAGUGAAUCAAGGCUAGCUCAGAUCUGGGAGUCAUCAGGAACAUCAUCACACUAUCAAACAUCUAAGUUGGUACUUUUGAAUUAUAAAUUUAUGGUAUAUGGCAUGUAUAGGCUAGAUGUGAUAUUUUGGUUGUGAUUAUAGCCAUAAGAUUUGGCUUAUAAAUGUUGUUAAUAUUGAUACGUGUUUGGCUAUUAGAAAUGGUUGUUAAUGAUUUUUGUAAGAUGUUUGUAAUGCCUUGUGAGAUGGUUUAUUUUGGCAUGGUUGUAACCAAGACAUUAUGAAAGUUAAAAUUGUUAUUUGAAUUAUAGUAGAUGAAAGCUUGAGAAAGGUCUUAUUGUGGCAUGAAUUUGUAUGUCAUAUUGGUAGUUAAGUAGUAUGUAAUACAAUGAAUGAAUUGAUUGAGUUGAGGAUUGUUUUCGGUUGUGAAUAUUAAGUUGGUAUAUAUACAUAUUGUAUGAAUUAAGGUUAAAGAUCAUGUUGUUUUGGUAUAUAUUUGAGUAAGUGAAAUGGUUGUAUUUGCAUAGCAUGAUUUGUGCAUGAAUUGGGAUUGAUUUGGCUGUCUUUUGUGUAUGGAAAUUGUACAUUUUGCCUUGUGUAGGUACAUUAAAGUUGGGGUGGCAAAUUGGCCUUGCAAAUGGCCUACUUUUGUCUACAAGGGCAGAGACAUGGGUGUGUGUCUCAGCCGUGUGCGACACAUGGUCAUGGUAUGCAGUCGUGUGUCCACUAAUGAUGCUUAGAAAUCAAGUCAGUGAGUUACACAGCCUAGACACACGGGCGUAUGGCUGGCCAUGUGGCCAAGUCAGUAUACCUUUUAGUUUUCACACAGCCUUACACACGGGCGUGUCCUCGGCCAUUUGACACAAUUCAGUAUGUAUAUCCUGUUUCCACACGACCAGAGACACGGGCGUGUCUGGAGCCGUGUGAGGCACAUAGCCUGUUCACAUGGGCAUGUAACCCCUGUAUUGUUGAAAUUUUUCUAAGUUUCUAAAAUUUUCAUAUGUUAUCGAUUUAGUCCUGAAUCACUUCUAAAGCAUGUUUAAGGUUUCGUAGGCCCUUAUAAGGGACAAAGUGUUUAUGAUUAAAUGGUAUUUGAGUAUGAAUGCAUAAAUGUAUAAGUUAUGUCUAUUAAAUGAUGUGUAUUGAUCGAUAAUACCUCGUAACCCUACUCCGACGAUGGAUACGGGUUAGGGGCAUUACAUUUUAUUGGUAUCAAAGCUACGGUUUAGUCGAUUCUAAGACUAAUGUAGCGUGUGUAAGAGUCUAGUUAUACAUGCCAUAUAUACUCUGCGAUAGUGUUAUAAUUCCUAACAGCUUAAAUUGUGUUUUCGUAUAGUAAUGGAUCCCGAACGAGCUGUAGCUGAUGAUGUAAAGAGUAAUGCACCCACUCCUACUCAAGGGGCAAGGCCAUCUGAUUCUAGGCCUGUAACGAGUAGCUACGAGGGAGAGGCUAAACAAGCCUUUUUCCAAAUGAUGAACGAGUGGUUCACGGUGUUUGUUCGAAUGAAUCCGGCUGCUCAACAACCUCCACCCCCACCUAUUCCUCAACAAAUCCUUGUUGUUCAUCAACGUAUAGAUCUGAUACGAUUGAGCAAGCCGCCAGUAGAUAAGAUUCGUAAAUAUGGGGCUGAAGAGUUCCGGGCUACUACUGAUUAUGAUGCUUAGAGAGCUGAGUUUUGGCUCAAAAAUACGAUUCGAGUAUUCAAUGAAUUGUCUUAUACUCCUAGUAAAUGUAUUAAAGGUGAUGUAUCUUUACUUAGAGACACCGUGCAUCAAUGUUGGAACACGUUGAUAUUUGUGUUUCCAAAAGAAUGGGUUACUUGGGAGUUCUUUCAAUCUGAAUUCUGAAAGAAAUACAUCAAUCAAAGAUUUCUUGAUCAAAAGCACAAAAAGUUUCUAGAAUUAAAAUAAGGCCGAAUGACUGUAACCGAGUAAAAAAGAGAAUUUAUACGGUUGAGUAAGUAUGCCAGAAAAUAUGUUUCUACUGAAGAGAUUAUGUGUAAGUGGUUCGUCAGCGAGUUGAACGAAGAUAUAAAACUACUAAUUGGAAUUAUAGAGUUGAAAGAAUUUGUCGUUUUGGUUGAAAGGGCUUGUAAAGCCGAGGAUCUUAGCAAAGAAAGGAGAAAAGCAGAUUCAGAAGCUAGAGACUCGAGAAAAAGAUCAAUGAGUAAGCCGUAUCAAUCUUUAGCAAAGAAAUCCAGAUAUUCGUACGCUCGCCCAAAUGCUUCAAACGAAUAUUCGAACAGAGAUCGUAAAAAAUAAUACUCAAGUUCUAAAGCUCAAGCUACAUCAGUAUCGAGUGUUGGAAGUGUGAGAGACAACAAACCUGAGUGUUAGUAGUGUGGGAGACGACAUUUUAGAGAAUGUUGGAAUAAAAGUAAUAAAGCUUGUUACAAAUGUGGUUCGCUAGAUCACUUCAUUCGAGAUUGCCCUGAGCUAGAUUAGAAAGAUAAAGUUCAGAAUGUGAGACCAGGUAACAUGUUGAAUAGAGGUAGACCACUUAGAAUUAUCAGAAAUGUAAGUGGUAGUAGAAGGGAAACAAAGGAUUCAGCUGUGAGAUACGAGGCCAAAGCAUUUGCUAGAGCUUAUACUAUUCACGCUCGCGAAGAAGCACCAUCUCCAGAUGUUAUCACCGGUACUUUCACUCUCUAUAAUACUAAUGUGAUUGCAUUGCUAGAUCCAAGAUCAACUCAUUCUUAUAUAUGUAUGAAUUUAGUAUCUAGUAAGACUUUACCUGUAGAGUCUAUUGAAUUUGUGAUUAAAGUAUCAAACCCCUUAGGCAAAUGUGUUUUGGUUGAAAAAAUUUGAAAGAAUUGUCUGUUAAUAAAUUGGGAUUUCUAUUUUUUGGCUAAUCUGAUGUUGUUUCCAUUUGAUGAAUUGAUGUGAUUUUGGGUAUUAAUUGGCUAACGAUGCAUGAUGCUAUAGUGAAUUAUAGACGAAAGAUAAUUAAACUGAAAUGUCAGAAUAAUGAAACUAUUAAAAUUGAAUCUGACGAUCUGAAUAGUUUGCCAGUUGUGAUCUCGUCAAUGUUAGCUCAGAGAUUUGUGAGAAAGAGGUGUGAAGAUACAAAAGUGAUAAAAACAAAGAUGGAAUUAGUACCAAUUGUGUGCGAGUAUCUAGAUAUAUUUCCCAAAGAGUUACCGGGUUUACCACUUAUCAGAGAGGUUGAGAUUGGUAUUGAAUUAGUACCAAGAGUAAUGCCGAUAUCGAUAGCUUCGUAUAUAAUAGCUCCAACAGAGUUAAAAAAAUUGAAAGCUCAAUUGCAAAAGUUGACAAAUAGAGGUUUUGCUAGAUCGAGUUUCUCUUUCUGGGGUGCACUAGUGUUAUUUGUGAAAAAGAAAGAUGUCACGAUAAGAAUGUGUAUAGAUUAUCGACAGCUCAAAAAAGUGACGAUCAAGAGUAAAUACCCCUUUCCACAAAUAGAUGAUUUAUUUGAUCAGUUAAAAGGAGCAACAGUGUUUUCGAAAAUUGAUUUGAGAUCGGGCUAUUACCAGUUGCGAGUUAAAGACUCAGAUGUGCCAAAGACUGCAUUUAGAACAAGGUACUGACACUACAAAUUUCUUGAUAUGCCUUUCGGACUAACAAAUACACCUGCUAUUUUUAUGGACUUGAUGAAUCAGAUUUUCGGCCGUACUGAGACCAAUUCGUAGUUAUAUUUAUUGAUGAUAUUUUGAUUAACUCUCGUAAUGAAUCUGAGUAUGCCGAGCAUUUGAGAAUUGUGUUACAAACUUUGAGAGAUAAAAAAAUGUUUGCAAAGUUCAGUAAAUGUGAGUUUUGGUUACGAGAGGUUGGUUUUCUAAGACAUAUAGUUUCACCCGCGGCUAUCUGAGUUGGCUCGAGCAAAAUUACUGCGAUUAUAGAUUUGAAGCCUCCGAGAAAUGUAUCCAAAGUCUGUAGUUUUCUGGGACUAGCUAGCUAUUAUAGAUGAUUUGUGAAAGGCUUCUCGAUGAUUACGACUCUGAUGACAUGAUUGCUUCAAAAAGAUGUUAAAUUUGAGUGGUCAAAAAAGUGUCAGCAGAGCUUCGAGCAGCUGAAAGCAUUAUUGAUAGAGGCACCACUGUUAGUUCAGCCUGAGUCGGGUAAAGAAUUUGUAGUUUUCAAUGAUGCAUCGUUAAAUGGCCUGGGUUGUGUUUUGAUGCAAGAAGGCAAAGUUGUAGCUUAUGCCUCGAGAUAGUUGAAGCUGCAUAAAAAGAAUUAUCCGACGCACGAUCUAGAGUUAACUGUGAUAGUGUUCGCAUUGAAAAUUUGGCGUCAUUACUUGUUUGGUGAGAAAUGCCAUAUUUAUACCGACCAAAAAAGCUUGAAAUAUCUGAUGACUGUGAAAGAUUUGAAUUUGCGAUAGCAGAGAUGGUUAGAAUUGCUAAAAGACUAUGAAUUAGUGAUUGACUAUCAUCUAGGGAAAACAAACAUAGUUGUUGGUGCUUUGAGUUGAAAGUCUUUAUUUGCUUUACGUGCUUUGAACACACAGUUAUCUUUGUCUGACGAUGGUUCGAUAGUAGCCCAGUUGAAAGCGAGUCCGUUAUUUCAACAGCAGAUUUGUGAGGCUAAAAAAUUUGAUAAUGAAUUGAAAGUAAAACGAGCUCAAUGUGAGUCGAAUUUUGAUUCAAAGUUUCGAAUAGGGCCUGAUGACUGUUUAAUGUUUCAUGAUAGAAUAUGUUUACCAAGAAAUUUUGAGCUCAUUUGGAAAAUUCUAAGUGAAGCACACAGUAGUUGUUUAUCAGUACAUCUGGGAAGCACAAAAAUGUAUAACGAUUUGAAACAGUUUUAUUGGUGGCACGGCAUGAAAAGAGAUAUCUCAGAAUUUGUUUCCAAAUGUUUGAUUUGUUAGUAAGUCAAAGUUUAGCAUCAAGUGCCAUCAGGUUUAUUACAGCCUAUUAUGAUUCCUGGGUGGAAGUAGGAUAAAGUAAAAAUGGAUUUCGUAUCGGGUUUGCCCUUAUCUCCGAAAAAGAAAAAUGCGAUGUUGAUAGAUUGACAAAAUCAACUCAUUUGAUAUCAGUACGUAUAGAUUUCUCGCUUGAUAAAUUAGCUGAGUUGUAUAUUUUCAAAAUUUUGAGAUUACAUGGUGUUCCCCUAUCUAUUGUUUCAGAUAGAGAUCCAAGAUUUACUUUGCAAUUUUGGAAAAAUUGUAAGAAGCUUUGGGUUCAAGGCUGCAUUUUAGAACUGCAUUUCACCCGCAAAUGGAUGGUUGCAUUCUUGAGUUUUGAAGGUAGCUGGGAAAAAUAUCUACCGCUGAUUGAAUUUACUUAUAAUAAUAGCUUCCAAUCGAGUAUAAAGAUGGCACCGUACAAAGCUCUAUACGGUCGUAAAUGUCGAACACUGUCGUACUAGAGUGAGCUCAACAAAAACAAGAUUCAUGGGAUUGAUCUGAUCAGAGAGACUGAAGAAAAAGUGAAAGUAAUUCACGAUAGUUUGAAAGCAGCUUCAGAUCGAAAAAAAUCGUACGCAGACUUCAAACAGAAAGAUAUUGAGUUCCAAAUCGGGGAUAAAGUGUUUUUGAAAGUGUCACCGUGGAAAAAGAUAUUGCGGUUUGGUUGGAAAGGGAAAUUGAGUCUGCGAUUCGUCGAACAGUAUGAGAUUACUGAUCGAGUUGGGCCAGUGUCGUAUCGACUAUCUUUACCAUCUAAGUUAGAGAAAAUACAUAAUGUAUUUUAUGUGUCGAUGCUUCGAUGAUACCAAUCUGACCCUUCACAUGUAAUUUUCCUGAUCGAGGUUGAAAUUCAAUCUGAUAUGUCAUAUACUGAAGAACCGAUUCGAAUUUUAGCUUGUGGGAUCAAAGAGCUGAGAAAUAAAAGAAUUGCAUUAGUGAAAGUAUUAUGGCAUCGACACGGGGUUGAAGAAGCUACAUGGGAACCUGAGGAUGCUAUGAGAAAACAUUGCUCGAACCUAUUCACAGGUAUGAUUUUCGGGGACGAAAAUUCCUAAAGAGGGAGAGUUGUAAUAGCCCGAUUUUAGCUAAAUCAGAAUAGUGGUUUUAGAACCACAAAUUGGAUGUCAAAAAAUUAUUAUAAUAUUAUUUUCAGUAUUUACAGCAUGUUGUUUGAUAUGUGUGAAAAUUUCGUGAGCUAAUUUUAUCUUUCGGAUGUUUAAUUUGAUAAAAGGACUUAAUUGCGUAAAAUAUAAAAGUUGUAUCCUAUUUGUUUAAAGUGCUUAAUUGCUAUGAUUAAUUAAAUUAAAAGUCCUUACGAUGAUAUUAGACCAUUGGUAGUAUUAAUGGACAAUUAUGGCCAUCCAUUAUAUGUAUUUAUAUGUUUAUAACAAAGAUUAUUAUGGUAAAUUAGUAAUUAAUUUAAUAAAAAUAUAAAAAAACAUGAUUUUUGUUCAUCCUUUUUGCCAUUGCCAAAAUUCCAAGGUGAAAAACACCAUUUUUAUGCAUAUUAGGGUUCGGCAUCUUCAUAGCUUAAUUGGUAAGUGUUUUGAGCUCGAUUUUUGAUGAUUUUUACGUUUUUGAGAUCGUUGCUUCGUAUUCUAGCUAGCUCGUACCUUUAAUUUUGAAACUGUUAAAGAUUUUGAGAAUUUCCAUUGUUCAAUCUAUGAGUUCAUUGAUGUUUAAUGUUGAAAUAUGAAAGCUUGAUGAUAGUUUUACAUGUUUUGUUAAGUGAUUUUUGAUGAAAAUGCAUAAUAGAGAUUAAAUUGUGAAAUAUGCAAAUUGUGUGGUUGAAAUGUGAAAUAAAUGAAAAUUUUGGGCUACUAAGGACCUAUAUAUAAUUUGGCCAAGCAUGAGUUUUGUUGAAUGAUGUGAAUUUUAUGUAUUUGUGAAAUAGGGACUAAAUUGAUUAAAUGCGAAAGUUGAGGAGCUAAUGUGUAAAAAUGCCCAAAUGUGUAUUUUUGGAUUAAUUGAAUGAGUAAAUGAAUAAAUAAAUUAAUUUUGAACUCAUAUAGAUCAAGAAAGAAAGAAUUUUGGUUUAGAUCGGGGGAAAAACAAGGUUAUCGAGUAGUCGACUCGAUCCGCCAAUUCCGAAUACUAGAUAAGAGUGUAUGUGAUGAUUACAUUAUAAAUGUAUGUUAAAAUGCUUUAAUAUUGCAUAAAUUGUUAAAACGGGAUUAUGGAUAAUGUAUGAAUUGUGGAAACGAUUCUAGGAAUACAUUCGAUGAUAGAAACGAAAAGUGUGAAAGCUGGUUGAACCUUAAGAAUAGUUUUAGAUACUAUUGAUUUGUCAGUAAGUGAUACGUUGAGUUGGCUUUGGGCCAUGCUAUUAGCGCUUCGGGUGCGUAUUUUACUGACUUGGCUUCGGUCCAUGCAUAUCGGAUGAUUUGGCUUCGGGCCAUAAUAAUAGUUCUUCAGAAUAAUUACCUGGAUUUGGCUAAGGGCCAUGGUAUAGGUACUUAUUGUACGAGACUCUUGAGUAUCCGAUUUCUAUUCUGAAUGGUUCAAUGGGUAAACAAAUGAUGAAGUUGAGAAAGAGGUUUGUAUGAGGUGAUACAGGUAUGUGCAGAACCUAUUCAAGUAUUAAAUAGUGAAAGUUCGAUGAGUUUGUUGUUAUUUCGUGUUAUUUUUCUAUGUUUUAUAGUGAAUCAAGGGUAGCCCAGAUCCGAGAGUCGUCGGGAACAUCAUUGCACUAUCAAACAUCUAAGUUGGUACUUUUGAAUUAUACAUUUAUGGUAUAUGGCAUGUAUAGGCUAGAUGUGGUAUUUUUAUUGUGAUUAUACCAUGAGAUUUGGCUUGUAAUGAUUUGUGUAAGAUGUUUGUAAUGCCUUGUGAGAUGGUUUAUUUUGGCAUGGUUGUAACCAAGACAUUAUGGAAGUUAAAAUGGUUAUUUGAAUUAUGGUGGAUGAAAGCUUGAGAAAGGUCUUAUUGUGGAAUGAAUUUAUAUGUCACAUUGGUAGUUAAAUAGUAUGUAAUACAGUGAAUGAAUUGAUUGAGCUGAGGAUGGUUUUCGGUUGUGAAUAUUAAGUUGGUAUAUAUAUACAUAUUGUAUAAAUUAAGGCUAAAGAUCAUGUUGUUUUGGUAUAUAUUUGAGUAAGUGAAAUGGUUGUAUUUGUAUUGCAUGAUUUGUACAUGAAUUGGGAUUGAUUUGGCUAUCCUUUAUGUAUAGAAAUUGCACAUUUUGCCUUGUGUAGGUACAAUGAAGUUGGGGUGGCAAAUUGGCAUUGUAAAUGGCCUAUUUUGUCCACAUGGGCGUGUGUCUUAGCAUUGUGUGACAUACGGUCAUCGUAUACGGCUGUGUGUCCCCUGAUGAUGCUUAGAAAUCAAGUCCGUGAGUUACAUGGCCUAGACACACGGGCGUGUGGUCGGCCGUGUGGCCAAGUUAGUAUACCCUAUAGUUUUCACACGGCCUGAUACACAGGCGUGUUCUCGGCCAUGUGAUACAAGUCAGUAUGUAUGCCCUGUUUCCACAUGGCCUGAGACAAGGGCGUGUUUGGAGCCGUACGAGGCACACGGCCUGUUCACACGGGCAUGUGACCCUUGUAUAGUUGAAAUUUUUGUAAGUUUCCAUCAUAUGUUAUUGGUUUAGUCCUGAAUCACUUCUAAAGCAUGUUUAAGGCCUCAUAGGCCAUUAUAGGGGACAAAAUGUUUGUGAUUAAAUGGUAUUUGAGUAUGAAUGCAUAAAUGUAUGAGUUAUGUAUGUUAAAUGAUAUGUAUUGAUCGAUAAUACCUCGUAACCCUACUCUGGCGACUGAUACGGGUUAGGGGCGUUACAAUGUAUGUCAAAAACUCUAACAAAAAAGUUGUAUAUGAAGCAGCGUCUUUAUGCUCAUUGUUUGGAGGAAGGUGUGUCUGUGCACGGACAUUGAAAAGUGUUUAAAAAAAUUCUCUCAAACUUGGAGGCCAUGAAGGUUCAAUAUGAUAAAGGAGAUCUAAGGUUGAUUCUACUUUGUUUGUUACCCUCGUCUUAUUCAACCUUUAGAGACACGAUUUUAUACAGUCGCGAGUCUCUCACAGUUGAUGACGUUUAUGAUUCUUUGACCUCAUAUGAUAAGAUGAAGCAUCUUGUCGUUAAACCCAACUCUCAGGGAGAGGGUCUCAUUAUUCAUGAAAGAUAAGAUCGGAAUGUUGAUGAUGAUCAUGGAAGGACAUAGGACCUGAAUUCUCAUGGUAAAUCUAAGGGUAGAUCGAAGUCUUCAAACAGAGGUAAAACUUGUAACUUCUGUAAGAAGAAAAGGCACAUUAAAUCUGAGUGAUAUAAGCUACAUAACAAGAUCAUAAGAGAGGCUAUGAAUAAAAAGGGAAAACAACUAGAAAAAUCUAGUGAAGCUGAUGUUGUAGAAGACUAUAGCGAUGGUCAACUUCUAGUCGCUUCUGUCAACAAUUCUAAAGUGAGUGAAUAGUGGAUUCUUAAAUUGAGUUGCACCUUCCACACGAGUCCCAAUCGGGAUAGUUUACAACUUACGAAAUAGUGUUUAAAUGUGUUAUUUUGAUGGGAAAUAAGAUUUUGUGUAAAAUUGCAAGUGUUGGAACAAUUAGAGUUAAGAUGUUUGAUGGAGUUGUUAGAGCACUUAAUGAUGUGGGACUUGUUACAGAAUUGAAGAGAAAUUUGAUUUCGUUGAGUAUUCUUGAUUCAAAAUGGUACAAAUACACAGCUAAAAGUGGGGUUUUGAAAAUUUCUAAAGGUUCCCUCGUUAUGAUGAAAGGGUAGAGAAAAACUGCCAAGUUAUAUGUUUUGUAGGGUUCCAGUAUUACUAGUAAUGCAGCUAUCACUUCCUCUUCCUUGUCAGAUGAUGAUGUUACUAGACUUUGGCAUAUGCGCCUAGGGCAUAUAAAUGAGAAUGGCAUGGUAGAAUUGAGAAAAAGAGGACUUUUUGAUGGGCAAGAAAUUUUCAAACUGAAGUUCUGUGAGCAUUGUGUUUUUGCGAAGCAAAAGAGAGAGUUUGAUUCACUAGAGGAAUCCAUAACACAAAGGGAACAUUGGAGUAUAUUCAUUCUGAUCUGUGGGGGCCAUCCAAAGUGCCUUCGAGAGAUAGAGCUAAUUAUAUGCUAACUUUUAUUGAUGAUUUUUCUAGAAAAGUUUGGGCGUUCUUCCUAAAGUAGAAAAGUAAUAUGUUUUUCGCAUUUAAGUCUUGGAAAACUAUGGUUGAAAAACAAACAGGAAAACAAAUAAAACACCUCCGCACAGACAAUGGCUUAAAGUUCUAUUCUAAUGAGUUUAAUAAGCUGUGCGGGUCAGAAGGGAUCGUGAGACACUUGAUAGUUCGUCAUACUCCACAACAAAAUGAUGUUGCGAAACGAAUGAAUAGAAUGAUCAUAGAGAAAAUUCAAUGUAUGUUGUCAAAUGCUAACUUACCGAAGUCGUUUUUGGUUGAAGCAAAUUUUACUACAUAUUUUUUGAUCAACUGAUCUUUAUCUAUUGCUAUUGAGAAAAAGACUCCACAAGAGGUACGGUCUGGUAUUCCUACUGAUUAUUCUGGUUUAAAGAUCUUUGGGUGUCUUGCGUGUGCUCAUGUUGAUAAUGGAAAAUUGGAACCGAGAUCCAUUAAAUGUGUUUUUCUUGGUUAUAAAGCUGCUGUAAAAGGGUAUAAGUUAUGGUCUCUUGAAAAUAGAAAAGUAGUGAUUAGCAGAAAUGUUGUUUUUAAUGAAACUGUUAUGCUACCUAACUUAUCUUUUAAGGACUCUUCCAAUAAAGAUCAUCAAAAGUAGGUGGAGCAUCAGAUUAUUCGAAAUCUACAACAGAGUCGACUCCUCAAGCCAGUAUAGAAAUUCAGAAUAGAGUUACUUCUUCACCACAAUACUCUAUCGACAAAAAUAGAAUUAGAAGAGAAAUUAAACCUCCAAAGAAGUAUGCCGAGGCUGAUCUAGUUGCUUAUUCUUUAAAUGUGGCUAAAGAUAUAAAUGCAAACCAAGAGCCAUCUAAUUAUUCUAAGGCGGUAAGCUGUGAAGACUCAGAAAAGUGGACGUCUGCUAUGCAAAAGGAGCUAGAAUCACUCCACAAAAACAGAACAUGAGAUCUUGUGAAACUUGCUAAAAGUAAAAAUGUUGUUCGUUGUAAAUGAGUGUUUAAAAAGAAAGAGGGGACUCUAGGAGUUGAAUAACCCAGAUAUAAAGUGCAAAGGGUUAUACUCAAAUUCCAAGAGUGGAUUUCACAGAUUUGUUCUCCCUAGUUGUGAAGCAUAGUUCGAUUCGAGCUUUGCUUAGUAUUGUAGCCAUGCAUGAUUUGGAGCUUGAGUAGUUAGAUGUAAAAACUACAUUUUUGCAUAGAGAACUUGAGGAGGAUACUUACAUGUAAUAAUCAGAGGGUUUUACAGUCUCAGGAAAAGAGAACUAUGUUUGCUUGAUGAAAAACUCCUUUUACGGUUUGAAAUAGUCACCAAGACAAUGGUACAAGAUAUUUGAUUCCUUUAUGACUUCUCAUGAUUUCCAAAGAAGUAGCUUUGACAAUUGUGUUUAAUUUAAGAAAAAUAGUGAUGGUUCUAUUUUGUAUCUAGUCCUUUAUGUUAAUGAGAUGUUGAUAGCAGCGAAAGAUACAGGAGAGAUAAGAAAGGUCAAAGCCUAACUAGGUGAAGAAUUUGAAAUGAAAGAUUUGAGAAGAAGAUACUUAGUAUGAAGAUUCUCAGAGAUAGAAAAAUAAGUAAAUUAUACCUAAGUCAGAAGGGGUACAUUGAGAAAGUUCUUUACAGGUUCAAUAUGCAGAGUGCUAAGCCUGUUAGUAUUCCUUUAGUAGCCCAUUUCAGGCUCUUAUCGGCUUGUCUCCACAAACAGAUUAUGAGAUUGAGUACAUGUCACAUGUUUCAUAUUCUAGUGCAGUGGGAUCUCUCAUAUAUGUUAUGGUUUGUUCACGUCCAGAUUUAUCAUAUGCAGUUAGUGUAGUUAGCAGAUACAUGUCGUAUCUCGGUAAAGAACACUGGAAAGCCAUUUUGCUUACAGUCAAUUAAGAUACUUACGAGGUACUACUGAUGUUUGCUUAUAGUUUGGAAGAACUAGGGAUGGAGUCAUUGGAUAUGUUGAUGCUGAUUUUGCUGGAGAUCUUGAUAGAAGAUCUCUCACAGGUUAUAUCUUUACAAUUGGAGGUUGUGCAAUCAGUUGGAAAGCCAUUUUGCAAACUACAGUCGCUUUGUCUACCACUGAAGCCAAGUACAUGGUGAUUACUGAGGCUUGUAAAGGAGCAAUUUGCUUGAAGGGACUCUUUAGUGAACUCAAUGAAGACCUUCAAAUCAGUACAAUAUUUUGGGAUAGUCAAAGUACUAUCUUCCUUACAAAAGAUCAAAUGUUUCAUCAGAGAAUAAAACACAUUGAUAUUCGGUAUCAUUUUAUUCAUGAUAUUAUUGUUCGUAGUGAUAUUGUUUGUGAGCAAAAUUAGUACUCAUGAAAAUCCUACAGAUAUGAUGACUAAGUCACUUCCCAUAAAUAAAUUUGAGCAUUGCUUAGACUUGGUUGGUGUUCAUUGUUAAAAGUUAAGCCCUUAAGGGGUUUUGAUGGAAGAGGUAGAGAACUUGUUCGUUGAGAGUUAGCGAUGAAGAACUUGUUCGUUGAGAAUUCGUGUCAAGGUAGAGAUUGUUAGAAUUGAGUGACCCGAAUCCUUAUUUAAAUAAAAUAAAGUGGUAAAAUAAAAUAAAAGUGAAAUCCAUAUAGAACUACACUUCUUUUAUUUUAUUUUAGAAUAAGGUUUUUAAACUUUAUUAAAUUAUAUCUAUUUGAUAUUGAUUAGAAUAAUGUGUUUCAAUCUUACUACACUCUUUUUAUUAGAAUAUGGUUUUACAAGCCUAUAAAUAGCCACAGUUUACUCCUCUUAUAAUUAUUUGAAUUUAAUAUAGUAAAUUAUUUUCUCCUUUACAUGUGGUUUUUUCUCGAAAGUGUUUCCAUGUAAAAUCUAUUUGCUCUUUAUUUUUUCUUUCUCUUUUUUUUUUUACGAUACAUUGUCAUUAUCGAUAUUCUAUUUUUCACAUAAUCACUUAAUGCCAAACUUUUAUCUUAAAAAAAAAUUUCCACGCUAAAGCAUGUGGAAUUAAUGAUAUAGUAUGGCAAUAGGUUUGGCCCUUUCUGACUUACUCCCUUUACCACUUUAUAUAAACACUAUCGAAAGAGUGAUUUAAUUAUUUUUAUUCCAAGCCAAGAAUUACGAACAGUCUUUUAGCGGUAUUGGGAAGACCACAGAGGAUUAUGACUUAUCAACCACUUUGAAUAUGAGUAUAACUAAUGAUAUUGGAUUUGUUUGCUGUUUGGUACGCUCUGUUUUUUAUCCUUUCAUUUAAUCCUUUUGUUUUCUUUUGUAUUUGUGUUUCUUUCGCACUGAUUUUGGUAUCUAUCAAGUAGUUUGUUUUCUUUAUUGGGUGGGGGUUAGGAAUGGAGAGAGGUUUGGCUAAUCUGAGUUUGGAGGAUGGAGAAUAGGAGGCCCUUUCUAUCCCAGUUGAGGUUUUGGUGGGAUGCUUCUUAACAGCUAGUGUUGUUAAUUUCCCAGCCAUGAGGAAUACGUUGGCAAACAUCUGGCACCCCUUUGAGGGUGUGAAAAUUUCAGAUUUGGGUGAAAAACAUUUUCUUUUCAUAUUUUUGAAUGAAGUUGAUAUCCAUCGUGUUCUUAUAGGAUCCCCUUGGACCUUCAAUAAUCACCUCUUGAUUUCCCAUAGGAUACAGGAGAAUGAGGAUUCUUUGUCCAUUCCUCUGGUUUACUCUGAUUGGUGGGUUCAGAUUCACGAUCUGCCACCAGGAUUUUUUAGGGAAUCUGUGGCAGUGCAAUUUGGAAACUUCAUUGGUAAAUUUCUGGAAUAUGAUAUGAAGCAGCUAUCGAAUGGCUAUAAAAUUUUUCUUCGUAUUCAUGUUCAGAUUGAUGUUAGAAAGCCGCAGAAAUGAAGGAAGAAAAUUAUGAUUUCUGAAUCCAAUUCAAAAACGAAAUGCUAACUUUGUUUUGUUUCUUGUGUAGGUGUCUUCGCCAUAGAGAUAGUUUUUUUCCUGAUGAGACUACAAUGUGGAAUACAAGAAAUGGAAAUGGGUUGGGAUUUGACAUUGAGGUCCCAGCCGCGGGGAGCCACCACAAUCAAUAGCGUCUGGCUAAGGGAGGAGGGUGAAAAUAAUUUUUUGGAAAGAAUAGAGUUGAGUAGCAAUUGGGCCAAAAUUCAAGGAACAAUUAUGAGAGAAGAUCAUGGGUUGAUUGUAAUUAUUUUCUUGGAGUUAAUCUGGAAGGAUCCAAAUUUAAAUUUUAUCACAGUAAAAGGCAAGAAUCACGACUCAUUAUUCGAGGAGAUUUGCUGCCAUGCAAAGGUCAACAGCUGGAGACCAAUUUGAAUUGUGGGGAAUUAAUUAAGGGAUCGAAGGAUGUGGGACCUGCUAAUGGGUAGAUCUAUCAAAAAUGGAUUGUGAGCUGGAAGACAAUCCUAUUGCUAGUGAUGAAGGAAAGAAAAGACAAAGGUUUGUCUCUUUGACUUCUAAUGUUUCCAUUAUUCUGAAUUCGUUUGAAGUUGCUGAUGGGCAAUCUGCCCAUUUUAAAAUAUUAUUGGCGGCUGCCAGUGGGUAUGCCUACCGGAAGAAAUAAAAAAUUUUUUGUUGGAGUGCUCACAGAUUGGGGAGUCUGGGAGCAGUUAGAAGACUUCAGCAUAUGCUGAAAAUUUAUCCACCCCAAAUCGUCUUCUUUGUAGAGACAAAAUUGAAUGUUGCUAAAAUGGAAGUUGUUAAGAGAAGGUGUGGUUUUUUUAAUGGUAUUGAUGUACCUAUAGAAGGGACUUGGGGGGUCUUAGUAUUGGAUCGAAUGGGGGCCAGUUAGUUAAUUUGAAGAGUUUCUCCAAAAAUCACAUUGAUAUUGAAAUGCAAGAGGAGGAAGAAAAUCAUCGAUGGAGAUUUAUGGGAUUUUACGGGGCACUGGAUGUAAGGGAUAAAGUCGCAACGUGGGAUUUGUUACGUUGUCUAGGGAGUAAUAAGUCGCUCUUAGAGAGAAAGCUAGAAUGGAGGCUUUUAGUUGGAAUUUGGAGGAUUUUCAUUUGGAAGAUAUUGGAUAUUCUGGGAUAUGGUUCACUUGGGAAAGGGGGCGUCUAUUGGAAAAUAUCAUAAGAGAGAGAAUUGAUAGAGGAGUUGCCAUAGAUGCAUGGAUUCAACUUUUUCCGAAUUAUUCCUUGAGGCACCUUCCUUAUUCUUUUUUAGACCACUAUCCAUUGCGUCUUGAGACAGAGGUUGGGGGUUUACGUAAAAAACUUAGAAAGUUUCAUUUUGACGUGUGGUGGGUUUUGGAAGAGUCCUGCGAGAAUGAAGUAAGAAGGUUAUAGAAUGGUGGCUCAGGUUCUUUUAUUAGUCGACUUUUAUUUCAUUCUAAAGGGCUGCAGAGCUAAGGGGUGAGAUUAAACAAAGAAGAGGGUGUGAUGUCCAACAAUUAACAAAAAGACUGGAAGAGUUAACUUUUUCUGAGGUUAAGGAUGAAUAUUUGGCUGAGGUUAAGGAUGAAUCUUUGGCUGAGUUGGUUGAUGUCAAAGUACACAUUAACGUGGAGAUGGAUAAGGAGGAGAGAUAUUAGAACAACGAGCUAGGGUGAAUUGUUAAAAAAUAGGGAUCAGAACACCUCGCUCUUUCACAAAUAUGCUUCUCAAAGAAGGUGUACAAAUCACUUUCGUGGAUUGUAAAGGAGGGAUGGCUCGAUGGCCACUGAUAGUAUCGAGAUCGGGGAAAUUGCUCGCGACUAUUUUUCAGACUUAUUUGAUUUUAGAGGAAUCGACAAUUUGGAUCAUAUUCUUUCAAGGGUCUCAUGUUGUAUUAAUGAUAGUAUGAAUCAAAGUCUUACAGCUAUCUACACAAAAGAGGAAAUUGAGAAGGCUUUAAAAGGUAUGGGGCCUAUAAAAGCUGCUGCUCAGAUGGUUUUCCUACUAUUUUCUUCCAGAAGUACUGGUAUAUUAUAGGUAAUGAUACUAGCACAUUCUUCUUGGAUAUUCUGAACAAUGGAAGAUCACUGGUAGACAUCAAUAGUACUCACUUGGUUUUAAUCCCAAGAACUACAAAUCCUCUCAAUUUGAAGAAUUUUUGCCCUAUUAGCCUAUGUACCGUAAUCUAUAAGAUUAUUGUAAAGACGGUGGCAAAUCGAUUACAGGAAGUGCUAGAUGACUAUAUGAUGAAGCUCAAAGCAUAUUUUUACUGGGUAGACUUAUUACUGACAAUGUGGUGCUGGCUUAUGAGGUUCUUCAUUCUUUCAAGAAUAAAAGAUGUGGGCGAAAAGGUUUUAUAGCCCUGAAGCUGGACAUGAGUAAGGCGUAUGAUCGUGUGGAAUGGCUUUUCAUUCAAGGCAUGAUGUUAAAAUUGGGUUUUGCUAAUUCUUUUGUUGAUAUUAUCCUACAUUGUAUUAGGUUAGUUCUCUAUUCUAUUUUAAUUAAUGGUGAAGAAGGCUCAAGCUUCACUCCUUCGCGAGCGCUGAGGCAAGGGGAUCCUCUAAGCCCUUAUUUAUUUUUGUUUUGUGGGAGGGCCUUUCUGCAUUGAUGAAACUUGCUAGCCGGGAAAAGAGAAUUCUAGGGGCUAAGGUAUGUAGGUCUUCCCCUCCUAUUAACCACCUUAUAUUUGCAGAUGAUUGUAUUCUUUUUAGUGAGGUUUCUGAUAGGGGGAUCAUGGUGCUCAAAGAUAUUCUUAGAGAGUACGAAUCUUGUUCGAGGCAAUGUGUAAACAUUGAAAAAUCUACAGCUUUUUUCAGUUCAAAUGUGACUGAUCAUGAUAAGAAUCUGGCAUUCCAGACUCUUAACAUUCGCUGUGCGACACAGCCUAAAAAAUAUUUGGGGCUUCCAAACAUGAUGGGACGAAGUACGAAAAUGGAUUUCCAGGUUUUGAAGGACAGAUUGAAGCAGAAGAUGAAUAAUUGGAGUGUUAGGUAUAUCUCUCAAGGUGGCAGGGAGGUAUUUAUAAAAGCUGUUUUACAAGCAAUUCCAACUUACUCGAAUUAUUAUUUUCUUUUUCCAAAAAAUUGUGUUGAAAUGGAAAACUUAAUUAGUGCGUUUUGGUGGCUAAAAAGUUUUGGUAAGAGAGGGAUGCAUUGGUGUGAUUGGAAGUCGUUAUGUUUGCUUAAGGAAAAGGGUGGUAUGGGGUUUCAUAAUUUGAAUCUUUUUAAUAUUGCUUUACUCACCAAACAGGGUUGGAAAUUAUUACGUAAUCCUGACUCUUUACUAGUGCGUACGUUGAAAGUAAAAUAUUUUAAAGACUCAGAUUUUCUUAAUGCCAGAUUAGGAAAUUUGCCUUCUCUUACCUGGAAAAGCAUUUGGACUGCUAAAGGACUUCUUCAAAAGGGCUUGGGCUGAAGGAUUGGGGACUGGAAGAUUGUCUCUAUCUGGAGAGACGCGUGGGUACCUGGCAGUGUGGAUUUCAGAGUUCAAAGUAUGAAUGUAAAUUCAGGGUUUCGAUAGUAGCAGACUUGAUUGAUGUUAAUUCAAGAAAGUGGAAUGUUGAGCUUAUUCGCAAUACCUUUGAGGAGAUGGAUGCAUAAAGAAUUCUUUGUAUCCCAUUGUCUAUGCAUCCGCAUGAGGAUCUCUUAGUAUGGACUAGUGAGUUGACUGGGGAGUAUACUGUCCGGAGUGGACAUAAAUGCCUUUUACAUAAUGGAUAGACUCAAAUACAACUAGAUUACAAAAUUUUUUACAAGAGAUUGUGGACCCUUGAUCUUCCUCCAAAAAUUAAAAUUACAAACUAGAGGAUUGAUAAACCGUAAUUUAAACAUAUUUUUAUCCGAUGCUUAACACAUUUAUGGAUGAUUUCUCCUUAGAUUUGGUGAAUUCGAUGCUUCUAAUUCUUUAAUUUCAUAUUUUAUACUUAAGUGAGCAUAGGAGAGUAAAAAGAGCGAGGAACGGGCUGAAAACGGAGAAAAUGGACCCAUAUGGGAAAUCAACAUAGCUUGAACUUCCUCACACGGGCGUGUCACACGGGCGUGUCUCUUUGGCAGGAUCGAAGCACGACUUACAUGGGUAGACUACACGCACAUUCCUAUUCAACAGCCUUGACCAUGGGCUGGAGUAAUAGCACAUGGGCGUGUCACACGGGCGUGUCCCUACCGAGAACAAGUAUAACCCUAUUUGGAAAAGGCCAAUUUGGAGGGCUUUUGGGCAUUCUAAAGCCUAUUUAAACACCUGAGGAGGCACUUAGGAAGGAGAGAUGCAGAGUAGGAGGCGAGGAAUUACUUAAGGGAAGCCGAUUGGUCCAUCUCAGAAGCCGGAUUCAUCAUUAAGACUGAAGAUCUCCCUUCAAUUUCCAUUCAGGGGUUUUGGGUUUUCUUUAUGUUUUGUAUUCAUUAUUCUUCUGAGAUGUUUUCUUCAAUAAUUAUGAACUAAACCCCCUAAAUACCUAAGGGGAAUGAAACCUAGGAUGAAUCUUGUUAUUAUUAUCUGAAUUGUAUGAUAAAUGUUUGACUUAUUCUUAAUUAUGUGUUCUUAAUUCUUGUUUUAAUAUUCCAGGAUAUUGAUUCGAGUUAAUGCUCUUAUUCAGAGGAGGAAUAGACCCUGUCUAAGAGUAAAUUUGUCAUAAUUAAGCGGAGUUGAUUCCAUGCCUAAAGAUAGGGUGAUAAGAUUUUGCCAAAUUAGGGUGAAACCUAGUAAGGGGAUCCAUAGAUCAAGUUAAUGCAACACUACGUGUUAAUUAGAAAGAGAUUUCAAUUAAUCAACCUAGGGUUAGACGUUAUUAGUCUUGAGAGAGAUAAUAAUAUAUCUUAGGUAUUUCUACGGAUCAAGUCAAAUGAAUAAAUCAUCUGAUUCAAAGUCAAAUAACAAGUGAAGUCUAGGUGGAUUUUUCCUUAGUUAUUGUCCUAAUCAAUCGAAUUUUCCUAAAAGCUUUUCCCCAAUUUCUCUCUAUGCACUCUUAGUUUAGUUAAUUAAUUUAGAUAAAUAAAUCCCUUAAUUUUUAGGCUAGAUAAUAAAAAGAAAGUAAUUACUAGUACUCUUGGUUCCUUUGGGUUCGAUAAUCCGGUCUUGCUAAAGCUAUACUACUAUUCGAUAGGUACACUUGUCUUCAUCGUGAUAAUAGUUAGUUUCAAGAAUUCUUAAUUAUAAAUUUUUAAAACCUGUCGCGAAUAUCAUGUGUCAAGGAUUGCUAGUAACUAUUUGCCUACUUUCAGUAACCUUCAUUAUAGAUGCUUGAUGGGAUCAGCUACUUGUCGAAGAUGUCAACAUGGAGGGGAAACACGGAAGCAUAUAUUCAGGGAGUGUCCUUCAGCAAAAGAGACACGGGAAAGCUUAGGGGUUUUUUCGCCUAACACAGAAGCAAGUACAGAUUUCAAUGAGUGGUUUAAAAAAUUGUUCCAAUCCUAUUCAUUGGCUAAGUGUAGGUUGAUAGCAUGCACUAUGUGGGCUUUAUGGACAUCAAGAAACAGAUUCAUUCAUGAAGGAGUUUCUACUUCUGGUUCUCAAAAUGCAGAUUAUGUUAAAAACUCCCUAAAAGAACUUGAUGGAGUGAAAACGGACUUACCAGCGAGGCCGAUUCUUACUGACAGAUGGGUUGCUCCGACUGGACCGAGGGUAAAAAUCAAUUUUGGCGCUACUUUUAACAAACAGAGGAAUGGGUCAUGUUUUGGAAUGGUAGUAAGAAAUGAAAAAGGAGAUGUGAUUUGCUCUAAAAUAGUGUUUCAUUCAAGUUUACCUUCUGUUUUUACUGCAGAAGCGUUGGCGGGUUUCUGGGCGAUUCAUCUCGGUUUAUUCCUUCAGUUAAGAGAGGUUGAAAUUGAAGGGGACUCUCGUUCAGUCAUCUGCAAACUGCAAGAGCAAAAGGAUGAUAGAUUAGAGAUCGUAGGUAUUAUAAAAGACUCUAAAAAACUGAGCUAUGGUAUUGUCUUUUGUAUUUUUCAUUUUACCCAUCGCGAAUCAAACCAAGUUGCUCACUUUAUUACUAUCGAGGGUCUUAAGAAAAGAGAAAACUCUUAUCUGGCGAAUAUGGUCUUUUCUGGCGCGGAGGAUGCGAUGCUUGCUGAUCGGAGGGGACUGGAGUUCAGGUGAAAAUGAAGAGCUGCUUGUGUGGUGAUUUUGGAUUUGGAAAAUGAAGGGUUAAGGGUUGUGCUGUUUUUUUUCCUUUUUUCUUCGGUGAUUUUGAUUGAUGUUGAUGCUUAUUCAGGGCAAGUAAUGAUGAAGCAACGUUUUCCAAUAAAUUUUGUUGUUUUUGAUGUGGGAUUCCAAUUUGGAUAAUAACAGGAUGGAAAUAUCUGGAGUCCCCCCACCUGUUGAGCUAGAUCUUUUGCUGAUGGGCUGCUAUGUAUUGUUCUUUUGUUUUGUUUUUUAUGUUUUGAUUUUGGGCUUGGUUUCCUUGAAC
This 22032-nucleotide long non-coding RNA is filed under the name Gossypium barbadense (sea-island cotton). RNAcentral describes it as "long non-coding RNA (GBAR_LNC003056)". Lineage: Eukaryota; Viridiplantae; Streptophyta; Magnoliopsida; Malvales; Malvaceae. The record is from RNAcentral.